This 701-nucleotide ribosomal RNA is filed under the name uncultured organism. Its description in RNAcentral is "bacterial SSU rRNA". It matches the Rfam family "Bacterial small subunit ribosomal RNA", at positions 335 to 1015 of the family's 1533-position model. The record is from RNAcentral.
ACUCCUUCGGGAGGCAGCAGUCGAGAAUCUUCCACAAUGUACGAAAGUAUGAUGGAGCGACGCCGCGUGUGUGAUGAAGGCUCAACGAGUUGUAAAGCACUGUCAGGGGGGAAGAAUCAGCGCAUAACUAAUAAAUAUGCGCUCUGACGUAACCCCCAGAGGAAGCUCCGGCUAACUCCGUGCCAGCAGCCGCGGUAAUACGGAGGGAGCAAGCGUUGUCCGGAAUUAUUGGGCGUAAAGGGCACGCAGGCGGUUCGGUAAGUCGAAUGUGAAAUCUUACAGCUUAACUGUAAAACUGCGUUCGAAACUACCGAACUUGAGUACUGGAGAGGUAUGCGGAAUUCCUGGUGGAGCGGUGGAAUGCGUGGAUAUCCAGGAAGAACACCGGUGGCGAAGGCGGCAUACCCGGCCAAGUACUGACGCUCAGGUGCGACAGCGUGGGGAGCCAACGGGAUUAGAUACCCCGGUAGUCCACGCUGUAAACGAUUGGGUACUAGGUUUUUGGAGGGUCUCUAACCCUUUUCAGAGCCGCUAGGUUUACGCAUGUAAGUACCCCUGUCUGGGCUAUACGGUCGCAAGGCUGAAACUCAAAGAAUUGACGGGGCCCGUCACAAUCGUGGAGCAUUGUGUUAAUUCGAAGCAACGCCGAAGAACCUUACCAGGGUAUGACAUGUGAGCUUCGACCUUCGGGAAGAGGUUAA